CCUACGGGUGGCAGCAGUGAGGAAUAUUGGUCAAUGGACGAGAGUCUGAACCAGCCAAGUAGCGUGAAGGAUGACUGCCCUAUGGGUUGUAAACUUCUUUUAUAUGGGAAUAAAAUGUUCCACGUGUGGGAUUUUGUAUGUACCAUAUGAAUAAGGAUCGGCUAACUCCGUGCCAGCAGCCGCGGUAAUACGGAGGAUCCGAGCGUUAUCCGGAUUUAUUGGGUUUAAAGGGUGCGUAGGCUGGGAGGUAAGUUAGCUGUGAAAUACCACCGCUCAAAGGGGUGAAGUGCCAUUGAUACUGCCUGGCUGGAGUGCAGAUGCGGUGGGAGGAAUGUGUGGUGUAGCGGUGAAAUGCAUAGAUAUCACACAGAACACCGAUUGCGAAGGCAUCUCACGAAUCCGCGAUUGACGCUGAUGCACGAAAGCGUGGGUAUCAAACAGGAUUAGAUACCCGGGUAGUC
Molecule: ribosomal RNA, 461 nt
Filed under: uncultured bacterium
Lineage: Bacteria
Description: partial 16S ribosomal RNA
Rfam family: Bacterial small subunit ribosomal RNA
Source: RNAcentral